UUUGUUGUCAUGAUAGAGUUCCUUGUGCAUAAUCAGAAGCAUCUUAUUAAACAAAGUUGGGUUUCAGUAUGUUACAAGUGAGGCCGAACUCUAUCUGGGGGUUGCUAAAGGGAUAACAUAGCUUGUUGAUUCCGCUAUGGAACAUUGUCGUGAUGCGUGUGUGAGGAUUUGAAUUGAGUGUUUUCUCCUUCUCUCAACCUCCCCAAGGACAUUUGCAUCUCGGAUUCCGAUGGAUAGUGGUGUUGCUCUAGAGAAUUUGCUCCAAGCUGUUUUUACCAGGGAUCAACAAUAGACUCGGCUCAUUUACGAAGACCUCUCACUUUUUCUAUAAAACUGUAAAGAACAAUAACUACAUAUGCUAAAUGCCACUUUUCUAGAUAAAUACAAUAAUAGUUGUUGAUGCGGAAAUUGACACCCCCAACAUACCGGUUUAAACUAAUAAUUAAACCGCUUAUCUAAACCAGAAAUUCAUUUCCAGUUAUGAAUUUGGUCUUUAAGCAAAGACCAAAUAAGACAGGAAGGCCCGGCCC
Molecule: long non-coding RNA, 530 nt
Organism: Camelina sativa (false flax)
Lineage: Eukaryota; Viridiplantae; Streptophyta; Magnoliopsida; Brassicales; Brassicaceae
Source: RefSeq, a predicted model, not a curated record